Molecule: long non-coding RNA, 305 nt
Filed under: Mytilus galloprovincialis (Mediterranean mussel)
Lineage: Eukaryota; Metazoa; Mollusca; Bivalvia; Mytilida; Mytilidae
Source: RNAcentral
CUUUGAAAAUUAGCGCUUGAGACUUAAUGAUUAUUAAGAUUGCACAUGUGUAAACGUUGGUGAAUAUGAUAUGGUUGUAGAUAAUGUUAUUUUAACAGAAUCGCGAGAAGAAAAUUUAACCUGUUAACCGCUAUAGAAAACACCGUGUUUAUUCCAUCAAGCAAAUGGGCAUUUAUGAAAAUAAAAGUAUUAUUAAGUAAUUAACCAGGCAAAUUGAAACGGAUUUGAUAUUAAAUAGACCAUUUAAUACGAAAUCUUUAUUUCAUUUUAGUAUGAACUGAACACAUGACCAUGCGAAUUAUACA